This 433-nucleotide ribosomal RNA is filed under the name uncultured bacterium. RNAcentral's name for it is "partial 16S ribosomal RNA". It matches the Rfam family "Bacterial small subunit ribosomal RNA", at positions 29 to 507 of the family's 1533-position model. The record is from RNAcentral.
AACGAACGCUGGCGGCAUGCCUAACACAUGCAAGUCGAACGAGACCUUCGGGUCUAGUGGCGCACGGGUGCGUAACGCGUGGGAACCUGCCCUUAGGUUCGGAAUAACUCCCCGAAAGGGGUGCUAAUACCGGAUAAUGUCUUCGGACCAAAGAUUUAUCGCCUUUGGAUGGGCCCGCGUUGGAUUAGCUAGUUGGUAGGGUAAAAGCCUACCAAGGCGACGAUCCAUAGCUGGUCUGAGAGGAUGAUCAGCCACACUGGGACUGAGACACGGCCCAGACUCGUACGGGAGGCAGCAGUGGGGAAUAUUGGACAAUGGGCGAAAGCCUGAUCCAGCAAUGCCGCGUGAGUGAUGAAGGGCUUAGGGUUGUAAAGCUCUUUUACCCGGGAUGAUAAUGACAGUACCGGGAGAAUAAGCUCCGGCUAACUCCGUG